GCGCUCGUAGCUCAGCUGGAUAGAGCAGUGGACUUCUAAUCCACCGGUCGCAGGUUCGAGUCCUGCCGGGCGCA
This 74-nucleotide transfer RNA is filed under the name Nocardioidaceae bacterium. Its description in RNAcentral is "tRNA-Arg". It matches the Rfam family "tRNA". Rfam says of the family: Transfer RNA (tRNA) molecules are approximately 80 nucleotides in length. The record is from RNAcentral. RNAcentral also lists the same sequence under 2 other names. Lineage: Bacteria; Bacillati; Actinomycetota; Actinomycetes; Propionibacteriales; Nocardioidaceae.